CCUACGGGGGGCAGCAGUGAGGAAUAUUGGUCAAUGGGCGUAAGCCUGAACCAGCCAAGUCGCGUGAGGGAUGAAGGUUCUAUGGAUCGUAAACCUCUUUUAUAAGGGAAUAAAGUGUGGGACGUGUCCUAUUUUGUAUGUACCUUAUGAAUAAGGAUCGGCUAACUCCGUGCCAGCAGCCGCGGUAAUACGGAGGAUGCGAGCGUUAUCCGGAUUUAUUGGGUUUAAAGGGUGCGUAGGCGGGCAUUUAAGCCGGCGGUAAAAUGUCGGGGCUCAACCCCGGCCUGCCGUCGGAACUGGGUGCCUUGAGUGGGCGAGAAGUAUGCGGAAUGCGUGGUGUAGCGGUGAAAUGCUUAGAUAUCACGAAGAACUCCGAUUGCGAAGGCAGCUUACUAAACUGCCACUGACAUUGAUGCUCGAAAGUGUGGGUAUCAAACAGGAUUAGAUACCCUUGUAGUC
Molecule: ribosomal RNA, 459 nt
Filed under: uncultured bacterium
Lineage: Bacteria
Description: partial 16S ribosomal RNA
Rfam family: Bacterial small subunit ribosomal RNA
Source: RNAcentral